This 775-nucleotide ribosomal RNA is filed under the name uncultured Neocallimastigales. RNAcentral describes it as "partial large subunit ribosomal RNA". It matches the Rfam family "Eukaryotic large subunit ribosomal RNA", at positions 22 to 621 of the family's 3401-position model. Lineage: Eukaryota; Fungi; Neocallimastigomycota; Neocallimastigomycetes; Neocallimastigales. The record is from RNAcentral.
AUAUCAGUCAUGCAUAGCAUAUCAAUAAGCGGAGGAAAAGAAACUAACAAGGAUUCCCUUAGUAACGGCGAGUGAAGCGGGAAGAGCUCAAAUUUGAAAUCUUCAAGGUUUUACCUUGACGAAUUGUAGGUUUAAAGAAGUGUUUUCUGUUGAAGUUUUGGUAAAAGUUCUUUGGAAUAGGACAUCAUAGAGGGUGAGAAUCCCGUAUUUGACCAUUACUUUCAGCUUUGUGAUACACUUUCAAAGAGUCGGAUUGUUUGGGAAUGCAGUCCAAAAUGGGUGGUAAAUUUCAUCUAAAGCUAAAUAUUGGCGAGAGACCGAUAGCGAACAAGUACCGUGAGGGAAAGAUGAAAAGAACUUUGAAAAGAGAGUUAAACAGUACGUGAAAUUGUCAAAAGGGAAGCGUUUGACACCAGUGUUGUUUUCUCGAAAAUCAAUUAAAAAGAGUUGGAUUUUGUGUUGUACUGACUUUAUCAGCUUUCUUCACUCUUUUCCAGCUUUUUUUAAUGCACUUUUCGUUUAACAAGUCAACAUCAGUUUCUUUUGUUGUAAAAAGGUCAUUGGAAGGUGGCUUUCUCUUCGGAGAAAGUGUUUAUAGCCUUUGACUCAUGCAAUCGGAGAGACUGAGGUCUGCAGCGUAGAUCCUUCGGGGUUAGAUACAUUUGUGCUAAGUUAUAGCUUUUCAUAGACAACUUGUUGACUAUGUUUAGUCUUGUAGCUUACUCGCUUAUGCUAUUUUACCUACGCUUAGGAUGUUGAACUCUAUCACACACAG